Non-coding RNA from Rattus norvegicus (Norway rat), 69 nucleotides. The record is from Rfam. Lineage: Eukaryota; Metazoa; Chordata; Mammalia; Rodentia; Muridae.
GGGGAUUUGGCUCAAUGGUAGAGCGCUUGCCUAGGAAGCGCAAGGCCCUGGGUUCGGUCCCCAGCUCCG